UUGGAGGCACAUAUCAAGGCAGCUCGGAGGGAAGUGAGCCAAAUGACAGAGGCCCAGAGAGGUGCAAUGAAAAGACUGAUGCUCAGGAGGUACAGCCAGAUGACCAUACCUGAAGCACUCGAAACUGCCAAGCAAAGGCUACAAGCCCUGGCCGCCUAAAGAGAUACACCAGAGACAACGAAGGCAGACGAAUAAACCGGCUGUUCGCAACACAACCUGUGAAAGUGUACUGUCAAUGGCAGGGUAAUAACAGCAGAGCAGACCCACCAAUGCUGGAAACUGAACAGUAAUGGAAAGGUAUAUGGGAAAGGGAGGCAUCACACAACAGUGAUGCACAGUGGCUGGUGGACCUGAGAGAAGACCACAGCAACCUCCCUGAACAGAAUCCAGUGACUAUCACAGUGACUAUCACAGCGACAUCCAACAAAGAGUCUCAGGUAUGGACAGCACCCGGCCCUGAAAUGAUCCACGCCUACUGGCUAAAGAAGCUCACUGCAAUCCAUGAGCGCCUGGCAGCACAAAUGAACCAGCUGCUAAGGGAUGGGACCCACCCUGAAUGGCUAACCGAAGGGCGAACAAUCCUGAUAAUGAAGGAUCCCUCAAAGGGUACAGUCCCAUCCAACUACCGCCAAUAACCUGCCUCUCCACAACAUGGAAGCUCAUGUCAGGCAUCAUUGCAGCUAAGAUAAGUAGGCACAUGGGUCAAUACAUGAGCGAAGCACAGAAGAACAUUGGUAAGGAUACCAGAGGAGCCAAACAUCAACUCCUGGUUGACAGAACAGUCUUCCAAGACUGCAGAGUGCAACACACCAACCUGUGCACAGCCUGGAUCGACUACAAGAAAGCUUAUGACUCAAUGCCACACACAUGAAUCACUGAAUGCUUGGAGCUGUUCAACAUCAAUAGAACUCUAAGGGCCUUCAUUGCAAGCUCCAUGAGGUUGUGGAGAACCACCCUUGAAGCCAAUGGGAAGCCACUUGCCCAAGUAUCCAUCAAAUGUGGCAUAUACCAAGAAGAUGCACUGUCCCCACUGCUGUUCUGCAUAGGUCUGAACCCUCUCAGCCAAAUAAUAAAAAAGACUGGCUAUGGAUACCGACUCCGGAACGGGGCCACCAUAUGUCACCUCCUCUACAUGGAUGACAUCAAGCUGUACGCCAAGAAUGAGCGAGACAUCGACUCACUGAUCCACACCACCAGGAUCUACAGCUCGGACAUUGGGAUGUCAUUCGGAUUUGAGAAAUGUGGGAGGAUGGUGACAAAGAGAGGCAAGGUAAUCCACACAGAAGGGGUCUCACUCCCAAAAGGAACAAUAGUAGACAUUGAGGACAGUUACAAGUACCCUGGAAUACCACAGGCGAAUGGCAACCUUGAACAGGCAACAAGGAAUGCGGCAACAGCCAAAUACCUCCAACGAGUAAGGCAAGUCCUAAGAAGCCAGCUCAAUGGCAAGAACAAAUUCCGGACAAUAAACAGCUACACCCUGACAGUUUUUAGAUACCCUGCGGGAAUAAUAAGGUGGCCAAAGGAAAAGAUACAGACCACAGAUGUUCAGACACGAAAGGUGCUCACCAUGCAUGGAGGGUUCCACCCCAAAUCCAGCACCCUGAGACUGUACACUAGCCGCAAGGAAGGAGGCCGAGGACUAGUGAGCAUGAGAGCCACUAUCCAGGAUGAAACAUCCAAAAUCCAUAAGUACAUCAAGGAUAAAGCUCCGACAGAUGACGUGCCUAGUGAAUGUCUCAGGCAGUGGAGAACAGAGGAUGAGAUGCUGGAGGAGGGACCAUCAUGGGAGGACAAGCCCUUGCACGGGAUGUACCACCGGAACAUAACUGAAGUGGCUGAUCUCAACAAAUCCUACCAAUGGCUUGUAAGGGCUAGGCGGAAGGACAGCACAGAGGCACUCAUCCUGGCUGCACAGGAGCAGGCCCUGAGCACCAGAGCCAUAGAAGCCCAGAUCUACCACACCAGACAAGACCCAAGGUGUACACUGUGCAAAGGGGCCCCUGAGACAAUCCAGCACAUAACUACAGGGUGUAAGGUGCUGGCAGGGAAAGCAUACAUGGAACGCCAUAACCAAGUGGCUGGCAUAGUAUACAGGAACAUCAUGCGCAGAGUAUGGACUGGAAACCCUAAGGUCAAAGUGGGAAACACCUCCCAAGGUGGUUGAGAACGAGCGAGCCAAGAUCCUGUGGGACUUCCAGAUACAGACAGACAGAAUGGUAAUAUCGAACCAACCAGACAUUGUGGUGGUGGACAAAGAACAGAGGAAAGCCGUAGUGGUGGAUGUGGCAAUACCAAGCGAUGGCAACAUCAGGAAAAAGGAAAAUGAGAAACUAGAGAAAUACCAAGGGCUCAGAGAAGAACUUGGGAAGGUUUGGAAGGUGAAGGCCACAGUGGUGCCUGUGGUGAUUGGAGCAAUUACAGCAGUUUUGAAUACAGUGCCCUUUAGUCAAACAUUUACUGACAAUUUUUUUUUCAACCAGCCAGGAAUGAAUGACAACUGACAAAGACCAAAAGCUUCCUCAUGCUGAGGGAAGUUCAAUAUUAUCCUCCAGUUUGGCUUCACAUCACACUUGCAAAGAACUGGCUUGUAACGUGAACAAAAGACGAGUAGGUGUGAUGAACCCUCCCCCAAGAAGGACACAAAUUGUGGAAGCUUGUUUCUGCUCCAGUCUGAAAGAGUUGUCAACUUUAAAACAACUUUACAUGAGCCAUGAAAACCAGAUAUAUUUGAAAACUGCUUAACAAGAAAAAAUUCUUCAUGGAUCCAUAACUUUAAAGGUUCCACUCAAAUCAAGGCUUUGUUAACAUAAUGCUGUAUGGAGGGAUUUAGUGUUUGUCCUUACAGUAGGUCACCCUCAAAUGGUUAAGGCACAGAAGCUCCCAGCUAGAGACUCCUUGCCUCUGUUGUUUUUUGUUUAUGACACAAUUUCAAGUGACACAAAAUACAGAGAUUUGCGCACCCAAUUUUCUGUUAAAGAGGCGAGAAGAAUCAGACAAGGCAAAGGAUAUCAGUGCCUCAAGAAUGGAGAGACGUUGGGCCUGGUUGCAGGAAAUCAUCAUCGUCAUCCCCCAUAUCCAGUAAUAAAUGGACAUCUGAAUACAUAUGUGUUAUGAGUAUAUUGUCUAUUGUCUGUCUGUCUGUCUGUCAGUCUGUCAGAUAUACAGUUAUACAGGUCAGAUACUAAAGCUCCACCUUUUGGUUUUACCUUGGAAUUGCGUCUUUGGUGCUAAAAAUGGGGGUGGCCUCAUUAACAUUUUUAACACCUUCUCCAGACAGACCAAGGAGGGGGGCUGCUGACAAUCGGCUCAUGAGGUUGUAAUGAGUGUGGCAAAGCCAGCUGAGGUGGCUUGGGCAUCUGUGUGGAUGCCUCCUGGAAACCCCCUUGGGGUGAUAUUUGGGCAUGUUCCGCAAGUAGGAAUCCCCAGGGAAGACACAGGUCAUGCUGGAGGGACUAUGUCUUUUGGCUGGCCUGGAAAAACCUUGGGGUUCCAAAGGUGUUCCCAAAAGCUUGAGCUAAGCUUAACCUUGAGCUGUCCAGGGAGAGGGAAGUCUGGAGCUCUCUGCUUAGAUUUCUGUGAGCCGGUCCGAAUAAGUGGAUGAAUUUAACGUAAGGUUUAAGACCUUGAAUAAUAAAACCCAACAUAUCCCACAUUCAGCAAGCCUUUUAUUGUAAUAAUUACAAUUUAAAAGUAUCAGUGGGGAGGAAAACUCCAUCUCUAAUGAGGAAGAAACCUCCAGCAGAACCAAGUCAAGUCAAGUCAAGUCAACUUUAUUUAUAAAGCACUUUUAAAAAGGCAGACUGACCAAAGUGCUUAACAAUUUAAAAUAAAAUAGAAUAAAAGAAUAGAACAUAAUAAAAGUGCAAUCAAAAUGCCAUUUCCAACAUAACAUUUAAAUAUUUAAAAGAACUAAGGGGAAUAAAAUACAAUAAAAUUGUUAAAGCCAACUUCUCAUACUGGGUCAAAAGCCAAGGAGAAGUUUUGAGCUUUUAUUUAAAAACAGUCAGUGAGGAGGCCUGUCUAACUUGCAGUGGCAAUGCAUUCCACAACCAGCUGAAGACGGGACAUGGACGAUUGAGAUUCAAAUUAAUAGUUUGUUAUUAAUGCAGAAACAUUAAUAUUCUUUGAAGUUGGGGCACCAGGUUUGUUUUAAAGCUAAAAACAUGCUUGUAUCAAUCUAGUCAACGCCAGAUGUCAAUUCAAUGAGUUACCAGUUAUGAACAACAAUAACAACUUUCUUGUGCUAAAACCAAAUCGGCUCUAAUGAUGUGAAUUCUUGUCCCGGUUCAGUGACCUCUGCUUAAAUCUAAAGAGCAAUGCACACAAAACCAGAUUCCUUUCAACGUUUUAUUCAUCUAAUACUACUGGAUAUAUGAAUAACAUAAUAUGGAAAUACUCAAAUAAUCCGAACAGAAAAUGAGAAAACAAUCAAAAUGAGAUGAUUAACAGUGAAUGAAUCAAUGAGUGAAAGCACAAGGAAUGGUCAAGACCUCAGUGUGUGAUGGCUUUGAUCAAGCGAAAAAAGAGUAUUUGUUUCUAACUUAUACAAAUCUAAGGAUAACUAAUGAAUUUGGAAUGUUCAAUUUUAGCGCUUUGAGAAAUACCAUUCUUCUCAGAGGAUUAGAGAUGUUCGUCUUGUCUUAGUUUGGAGCUGUAGGCCGCUGUGCAGCGUCUCCCGCUAUUGGCUUGGUUGAGCAGGCGUGCCCUCUCUGGUCCAGGUGCCACGGCCUCUGGGCCAGGAAUCGUCGCCCACCGUGAUGAUGAGAGCUCUGGGUCAGGAAAGUUACAGUCAGCCAGGCUGAACUUUCCAAGGUGUUUCAAAGCGUUAGCGCUACUAAAACUAGCCCGAAAAGGAAACAGGCUGGAAUCGAACUUAAUUAGUUCGAUCAAAAAUAGCGAGUCAACUAAUGACUGUUUGUAAUAGUUUCAGUUUCGCAGAGUUUCUUGAUGACUUUCUAACGUAACAAAAUUUGUUGCUCGUUCGUAUUUCUAAGUUUAACUUAUGUUUACAAAAUUUAAGAACAAAGGAAAAUUAAAGAAAAGUAAUGUGACGCAAAAAGAGAAGGUGAAAGAAGUUUGAAGAUAGAGGGAAAUCCGUUUCCACUAGGGUGUCAUUGGUUUAAAUACCCCUGGGGCAGUGGUUACUGCAGGGCGGAGAAAUUAGUUCAUGCAGUGGUGAAGAGUUCCACCUCAUCAGAUCAAGUAUCAAACUAUUUGAUUUGGAUUGCUCCUAAAUCUGGGAUAACUAAGCUUUCCUCUUUUCAUCAAGCUCAAAGUUCCAUCACUUUGGCACUCAAAUAAGCAGAGAAGUCAGAAUGGUUAGCAGAAAUAUUAAAUGCAUAGAAUAUUAAAGUUACACGUGGUCCCUUAAAACGCAGAAACAAAUAAAUGUUAUUCAUGAUGACUGGUCUUGUCUUAUGUAACACCAAGUAAACACUAAAACUUACACAAAUAAGAAACGCAAGCAAAAUCAAAUUAUAAAUAGCUUAAUCUAGACAUUACUAAUUAAACAAUUGUAACACUUAAAAAUGUAAUAUAAUAAUGAGGAUACCUAAUUGUAGCUGGUGGACGUAGCCUAUAUGCAUGUUGCACAGAAUAAAAGAAGUAAGGAAGGUGAAUAUGUGUAAUUCAACUUUUUACGUUCACACAAAGGAAAGCAUGGUGAUAAGUUGAAGUCCCUUUGUAACUUAAGGAAUUUCCUGGCAAAUCUGUAGAUCAGGCAUUAAACAUCACACAGAAACCAAUCAAUCAAUUAAUAUCAAAUGAUAACAUUUUGACCACAGAAUACAAUGGCAUCAGUUUCAUGACAGUUGAAGGUUCUGCUAGAUCUGAACCAGAACUUUUUUAUUACUUCGCAUUCCUGGUUUACGAUCCAGAUCUCCUGGGCGAGUGGGAGAGUCCAUGGAGUGAGUCUUGGUAGAGAAAUUGUGAGACAAGUCUUGGUCUGGUUAGUGAUAAGGCAGAGGAGGACCCUCGUGAGAUUUAGGUUGUGUCACCUAAAAGUAUCCAUGGUCUUUUGAUGUGCACUUAGCAUUAUGUGUGUUGUUUAUGUUAAACUCACAGUUCUGUUGUGAGAGGAAACAGUGUCCUGUGGAAUAGACAGGAAUUGUGUGUAUUCUUAUCUUCUGGUGAAUCGCAGCUUUGUCUCUGUGGAAGGGAGUGAAGCUCACACGUUGUGUUAAGUUACCUAGGUCCAGGCGUGGAUUGCUAAAGAGAACUUUAAAUUAUAUUCUACAUUUUUAUUCUACAUUUUACAGGCAGCCAGUGCAGAGAAGCUAAUGUAGGAGAAACCAAUCAUUGCAUGAUAUAGCAUUGAAUUAUCAACACACUGCUCACAACACACAGUAAUUUCAAUUUACUGUAAGUCCAAGACACAGUCACACUUCUGGGAUACCAACCUGUCCAGUUAGUGAGCAACACUGAUUGUAAAACAAUUUUACCUGAUAUUACAACAAACAACAGGUGAAAAUUAAAGACAUGUACUGUAGCAAGACAAUUCCUAUAAAGAAAUGGUUCAGCAGGUCGUGGCCUCAGACCAUUUACCUUUCCUCAACCUUUUUUUGCAUUUUGCCUGUGCCCCAGUCACUGGAGGUAGCAUAAGGUCUUUGUCUGCAACCCAUAGAUUUUGCUUACAUGUAGGUAGUGCAGCUCAUUUAGGAUGGCACAUCAAUGAGCAAUGUGACAUGAAGAUUUGCUGUAUCUCCCAUCAUGGACAGCAGGAGACGUGGAAGAGGCCCUAGAAAGACAAGUCAGCUGCAAGACUUUUUCUGCUUCUUUGAGUAAGAAGGAUUAACAGGAGCACUGCCAGAGCCCCUAGAAUGACCUCCAGCAGACCACUAAUGUGAUGUCCUUCUCCAUUAGAGUGGUGUGAAGGAACAGGUGGGGCCUGUGAUCACAGUUCAACACCAUGACUUUCCUUGGAGACCUCUAGGUGCCAGCCAGAAGUGCCUGACUGCCAUUAGGUACCUAGAUGGGAUACUCACAUCCAUUGUGCCCCUUCUGGUUCAUGACAAUGGUUCAUCUCGCUGAAGUGUGUCAGCAGCUCUUGCAUGACAAAGGCACUGAUGCUAUGGACCAUUCCCCAAACCAGAAUCCAACUGAGCAGCUCUGGGACGUCAUGUCUUCCAUUCACAGACUUCCAAGUAGUUGACUAAUGUCCUGAUCCAGGUCUGGGAGAAGAUCCCUUUGGAGAACAUCUGCUGUCUCAUCAGGAGGUGGCCCAUAUGUGAGCCACACACUACUGAGCCUCACUUUGAAUAGACUUGAUGAAUUUCAAUAGAAGUUCAUCUUGUGAUCUGACUGUCUCACUUCUUAAUAGACCUCAUUGGAAUAUUGAUUUUUAUUUCAUCAUUCUUGUGUCAUUUGUUCUCUGUAUUUUACUAUGUGGUAAAUAUUUUCAAGUGGGAGAUUUAAUUUAGCUAAAUUUAGAAUGUUUGUGUUUGUAUGUGUGGUGGUGUGGAGGUUUGCCCCACCCACCUUCCAGCCAAGAUGGGAAAUAAUUGGCUCCCUGGGAGGCGGGCCAGGCUGGUGCCUUUAAGUACAGGUGAACACCUGAUUAGGGCUCUUUGUUGGCUUGUGGCUGGUGCCCAUGAGCGCAGGUGAGCACCCGAAUAAGAUCGUUGUGGUUUAUCCGUGGCUGCAGUGGUGCGCCUGUGUACGAUCGCUACAGGCAAGGGGAGCUGCUGUCUGUGUGGUGAUGCAGGGUUUUGAGUCCCCCCCUCAGGUGCAGCGCUUAUGAGCAACUCUUUUUUUCCAGAGCCGGACCCCUUCACAGAGCUGGCAUCAUAAUAAAAGCUAUCCGGGCUGGCAUUAGCUCGAGUCACGGCGGGUGGUGUUCAGCGCGCCAGCGGCUGGGGAGAGCGGAGUCUCGCUGGUAAGCGACGACUGCGGGGGCAGCGACCGGGAAGCACAGCUGCGCUACAGUCCAGAUUACCGCUUUGGGUCUGGAUGCGAGUGCAAACCACGGGUUUGUGCCCUUCCCCGACGCUGCUGUUUCUGGCUUUUCUGGCUUCUUCUUUUAUUGUGUCUCGGUUUCGCCAAGGUUUCGGUCCCUCGGAUGUUUUGGUUUCUAUUUUGUUGUUUUUGUUAUUUUUUUAUUUUGGUUUGCCGUGAUUUUGCAUGGUGUGAUUUUGGUUUGUGUUACUUUUGGUGUUUGUAUUACUCAACUUACCUUGUGUGGUGUAUUUUAAUUGCGCAAUACAUUUUAAAGAAUAAACAUUGUCGAGUGUGAACGUC
This is an RNA transcript of Betta splendens (Siamese fighting fish), 8238 nucleotides long. It is a transcript of the gene named spindle and kinetochore associated complex subunit 2, with no coding region annotated. The record is from RefSeq and is a predicted model, not a curated record. The transcript is spliced from 2 exons. Lineage: Eukaryota; Metazoa; Chordata; Actinopteri; Anabantiformes; Osphronemidae.